This 201-nucleotide unclassified non-coding RNA is filed under the name Hevea brasiliensis (rubber tree). Lineage: Eukaryota; Viridiplantae; Streptophyta; Magnoliopsida; Malpighiales; Euphorbiaceae. The record is from RNAcentral.
CAUGAAUCCAAUAAUAUCUCACAUCUAUGUGUUUUGUUCUUGCAUGGUACAUGGAGUUCUUGCUCAAGUAUAUUGCACUUUGACUGUCACAAUCGAUAAGAUACUCCAUCUGUUGCAAUCCAAGUUCUUGAAGGAUUCGCUUGAACCAUAUUAUCUCUCUGCUAGAUUCAAUAGACGAAAUAUACUUUGCUUCAAUUGUAG